ACUCCCUCCGUCCUAAUAUAUAAGGCGUAACCACUUUUUGUUCAUAUCUCAUAAUAUAAGGCGUGCUCUCUCACAAACAUUAAUGUAGCACUAUUAGUGCUGAGAGGGAGAGAAUUAAAUACGUUCUUGGUCUUUGAAUCAAAGGGUACGCCUUAUAUACUAGGACGGAGGGAGU
Molecule: microRNA precursor, 175 nt
Organism: Sorghum bicolor (sorghum)
Lineage: Eukaryota; Viridiplantae; Streptophyta; Magnoliopsida; Poales; Poaceae
Rfam family: MIR6224 microRNA precursor family
Source: Rfam